GAUGAACGCUAGCGGCAGGCCUAAUACAUGCAAGUCGAGGGGUAGCAGGAUUAAGCUUGCUUAAUUGCUGACGACCGGCGCACGGGUGCGUAACGCGUAUGCAACCUACCUUAUACUGGGGUAUAGCCCGGAGAAAUUCGGAUUAAUCCCCCAUAGUACUAAUGAAUCGCAUGGUUUAUUAGUUAAAGCAUUGCGGUAUAAGAUGGGCAUGCGUCCUAUUAGCUAGAUGGUGAGGUAACGGCUCACCAUGGCUACGAUAGGUAGGGGGCCUGAGAGGGUGGUCCCCCACACUGGUACUGAGACACGGACCAGACUCCUACGGGAGGCAGCAGUGAGGAAUAUUGGUCAAUGGGCGCAAGCUUGAACCAGCCAUGCCGCGUGCAGGAAGAAUGCCCUAUGGGUUGUAAACUGCUUUUAUUUGGGAAUAAACCUCUUUACGUGUAGAGAGCUGAAGGUACCAAAUGAAUAAGCACCGGCUAACUCCGUGCCAGCCGCCGCGGUAA
Molecule: ribosomal RNA, 503 nt
Filed under: uncultured bacterium
Lineage: Bacteria
Description: partial 16S ribosomal RNA
Rfam family: Bacterial small subunit ribosomal RNA
Source: RNAcentral